AUAUUUUUCUUUCUAAAAAAUAUUCUGCACUUGCGCAAAAACUGGUGAGCGGUAAGGAAAUGUUUCCAUCAAGAAAUAUGCAUUAGUGGGCAUUAGGUAGAAAAAGGUUGACUACCAUUGGUUUAGGUACUUUUAGACACCAUAACGUCAUCUAAAUACAAUUGUUACGGUGUAAAGAGGCCCACAGGCAUACUCUUAGCGCAAUGGGUUCAAUUACCAAAUGAUUUAGCCCCAAAGUUGCCUCAAGUGCAACUUUAUACUCCCUCCAGCUUCUAAAAAGCUCAGUUUCAGGAAUCUCAGAGUUCCGCUGACAGUGGUCAGCUGAUGCUCCCAGCCACUCAGCUACCCAUUCACAAAACUGACUUUGAAAGAAACGUACCUUUUUCAAGCCAGUUUUGUGAAUGGGCAGUCACUUAUUGGCUCAGAGCAUCAGUUGACAACUCUCAGGCAAUCAGCAGCACUCCUAAUCAUCAGCAAGCCAUGCUUUCUGAAACUGAAACUUUAGAAGCCAGAUGCUUG
Molecule: non-coding RNA, 519 nt
Organism: Pelobates cultripes (western spadefoot toad)
Lineage: Eukaryota; Metazoa; Chordata; Amphibia; Anura; Pelobatidae
Source: the annotation of a GenBank genome assembly